Long non-coding RNA from Gallus gallus (chicken), 2080 nucleotides. RefSeq lists it as uncharacterized. Lineage: Eukaryota; Metazoa; Chordata; Aves; Galliformes; Phasianidae. The transcript has 4 exons. The record is from RefSeq and is a predicted model, not a curated record.
AGGUCCCUUUCCAUCAGGCAGCUUUCCAGCCACUCCUCUCCAAGCCAGUAGGGUUGCCUUGGGGUUGUUGUGACCAAAUUGCAGGUCCCGACAGUUGGCCCUAUUGAAAUUCAUACAGUUAACCUUGGCCCAUUGAUCCAGUCUACCCAGUUUUCUAAAGGAUUUAGUUCCCUUCUGAGUAUUCUUAAUAAUGAUAUCCAACAGGCUUUGGGAAACAUGAUGAAAACCCAGAAAGAUAUUGUUCAGACCUCCAUAGACUCUUCCAGGCUUAGCCUGGGUGGAAAUGUAAUGUUAGACAUGGCAGGUUUUGCUUAUAACUGUGCUCUUUGAUUAUGAAUAAGAAAAGACAAAGCAAGAAAAACUCUCAAACUGUCGUACUUCAUGGAGUGGGCUGUUGCAGCUAGCAAUAAAUUGUUGAUUGUUUGUUGAAAAGCCUUACUAGUUGUGUUUGCUUUUUGGAUAUCACAAGUCACUGGGUCAUGACAGGGACUGUGAGUUAUGUUCCUCCUCCCAGCUUGAAAGCGUGGAUUCACAACCAUGAUGCUCAGCUGUGCCACAAGGCAGGCUGCCUGUUGGAAAAGGGGAAGGUGGCACAAGGCUGGAAGUGCCUUCCUGUUGAUGGAGUCUUUCUCCUCCAAGUAGCUUAGAAAACUAUUUCUGAAGUGCAAGUUGCUCUUCAAGUGUCCAUCCUUUGUCCCGAGGAGGUCUUUGCUGGAGCCUUGAGAGAGAAGUAUGCUGGAGUUCACUGAUUCUUAUGUUUUGGUGUUGCUAUGGACACAAGAGUCUACGUCUGUGCCCCUUGCCUAACUUUUGCCUGCAUUUUACAGUCCCUUAAAUGCAACUUUAGGAUCUGGGAUACUGAAUACCUUGAAGCAUUGAAGUCACAUCCUCUGGUGUUUCAGCAGGGGUUAGAGCUGGCUGGUGGUGAUUAUGUUAUCAAAAGCUUCUCUUCCUCUGGGCAGAAUGAAAGCAGGGAGAAGCCCUUGGUAAGAGAGAGUGUGCCAAUGGAUAUUGGAGGCACUGAAGGACCAAGAGGUCAGCAUAGAAACACGCUGCCAGACUGCUAGUACUGCCUUUGGCUCUGAAUAUGUGGUAGUUCCAGACGUGGAGGCUGUCACUGGGAGGUUGGACCAAAAAUAUCUUCAGCAGCCAUAAUCUGUGACUCAUUAACGAAAAGGUUUUCUGUAUAAAAUGUCCACGACUCCUUGAGGCAGGCUUAUGAUGUACAGUCCAUAAUUUCAGAGACUAAGGUUACCAUCAGAGAUGUCAGUUCACAGGGACACCAUAAAACAUAAAUUAUAUAACCAAUAUCACGUUUUCCUUCUUUGUUAUCAAUUAAUGGAUUAUUCAAGUAGAGAGCUGGGCUGGUAUUGUUCCAGUCAAGUUGGAUGGGGAAAUCUUGUAGAAAGAGGAAUAAGCAAAAAUCAAUUUUCAAAUGAUCAGCGGAAGAUGUUCCCAUCAAUUCUUGCCAUUUCCAGCAAGUGCACAAGAGAAUCAGCUGUACUUCCAGUUCUGCUUAAUGAAUCAUAGAAUCAUAGAAUGGCCUGGGUUGAAAAGCACCACAAUGAUCAUUGAGUUUCAAUCCCCCUGCUAUGUGCAGGGUCGCCAACCACUAGAUGAGGCUGCCCAGAGCCACAUCCAUCCUGACAUUCCUUAACAGUGUUACCAAUUCUUUAGAGAAAUGAGGAUAUGUACUACAAGAGUGAUACUGAUGUGAUGUUUCCUGCUCUUACCAUGAUAUUUUUGUAUAAAUUAGGUGUUUCUUUGUCAAGCUAAUGGGGCCUUGCAAUGUAAUGGGGCUCAUCUUUUUAUGCUAAUUAUUCUUCCUAUCUAUUUGCUUACUAAAAUAUAGGUAUUUAAGGCUGAAUUGUGAAACUCAUUGCUUUUUUGAAUGGCAGGGUCCUAUUUAGAAUAAUGCUUAAUUUCUGUUUACUUGCAAAAAAUAUCCAGAGCAGCAUAAACAAUAUUGCAUAUGCUGACACCUGAGCACAUCUCAUCAAGUUGCAUUUUAAAAAUGCAUAGGAAAGAGAGCCAAGCACAAGAUAACUUCAAUUCUGGAAUUUUUAACUACUGGGGGCUU